This 992-nucleotide small RNA is filed under the name Pongo abelii (Sumatran orangutan). Its description in RNAcentral is "retained intron". Lineage: Eukaryota; Metazoa; Chordata; Mammalia; Primates; Hominidae. The record is from RNAcentral.
CUGUUGGAUCUGUGGAUGAGGAAGAGGAUCCUGCGGAGGAGGAUUGUCCUGAAUUGGUUCCCAUUGAGACGAAGCAAAGCGAGGAGGAGGAAAAGUCUGGCCUCGGCGCCAAGAUCCCAGUCACAAUUAUCACCGGGUAUUUAGGUGCUGGGAAGACAACACUUCUGAACUAUAUUUUGACAGAGCAACAUAGUAAAAGAGUAGCGGUCAUUUUAAAUGAAUUUGGGGAAGGAAGUGCGCUGGAGAAAUCCUUAGCUGUCAGCCAAGGUGGAGAGCUCUAUGAAGAGUGGCUGGAACUUAGAAAUGGUUGCCUCUGCUGUUCAGUGAAGGACAAUGGCCUUAGAGCUAUGGAGAAUUUGAUGCAGAAGAAGGGGAAAUUUGAUUACAUACUGUUAGAGACCACUGGAUUAGCAGAUCCUGGUGCAGUGGCUUCUAUGUUUUGGGUUGAUGCUGAAUUAGGGAGUGAUAUUUACCUUGAUGGUAUCAUAACUAUUGUGGAUUCAAAAUAUGGAUUAAAACAUUUAACAGAAGAGAAACCUGAUGGCCUUAUCAAUGAAGCUACUAGGCAAGUUGCUUUGGCAGAUAUCAUUCUCAUCAAUAAAACAGACUUGGUUCCAGAAGAAGAUGUAAAGAAAUUAAGAACGACAAUUAGGUACAAAAUGAUAAGUGUGUUAAGUGCCUACAGAUCCAUAUCGUAUACACAGAAUAUUUUUUACUCUGAUUGUUGCCCUGUAGAAACUUAAGGUAUAAGGUUGACCUGCUUCAAGAACAUUAGGGAAUCACAUAUAUUGUUGAUGGCUAAUUGUUAUAUAAAUGGUAAUACAUAAAAUUAGUCCCCAGUGCUUGCAGAAUGUAGUUCGCAGUUAAUAGACUGAUAUUCAGGGUCUUCUCACUCCAUCUUUCUUUUCCUGUCUUCUCUUUGACUCUUUCCUAAUGUCAGUCUUCCCUGACUUUACCUAGGAUGGUUAAUUCACUUUCCCAUGGAUGCAUCC